UGGUGGCAUUGUCCCAUC
Molecule: small nuclear RNA, 18 nt
Filed under: Arabidopsis thaliana (thale cress)
Lineage: Eukaryota; Viridiplantae; Streptophyta; Magnoliopsida; Brassicales; Brassicaceae
Description: snRNA_07605
Source: RNAcentral